UCUGGGGAUUGCACUGGACAUCCAGGAAAUGUUCCAGAGGGGUGGUAAAUUGGCUCCCAGAGGUUUUUGGGAAGAACCAGGCUGCGGGAAUCCAUCCCCUGGGAAUGUCUGUGUUGCUGAGGGGUCAAACCCCGAUGCCAGGGGUGUUAUUUUGGGAUUUUGGUGUCCCUGAAGUGAUGACAGGGAUUGCUCUGCACAUCAGAACAUCAGCCCAUUGGCUCCCAGAGGUUUUUGGGAAGAGCCAGGCUGUGGGAAUCAAUCCCAAGGGAAUGUCUGUGGUGCUGAGGGGUCAGCCCCCGAUGCCAGGGGUGCUAUUUUGGGGUGUUUUUGGUCCCUCCCCCCCAGUGAUGACAGGGAUUGCUCUGCACAUCAGAACAUCAGCCCGUUGGCUCCCAGAGGUUUUUGGGAAGAGCCAGGCUGUGGGAAUCCAUGUCAGGGGAAGGUUUGUGGUGCUGUGGGAUCAGACCCAGAUCCUGACCAUCCCAGGGAUGAGAUUUGGGAUUUUGGUGUCCCCCCAGUGGUGACUGAGGGUUGUUCUGGAUAUCCAUGGAGAGGGUGUGCAGGGGUGGUAAAUUGGCUCCCAGAGGUUUUUGGGAAGAGCCAGGCUGUGGGAAUCAAUCCCAUGGGAAGGUUUGUGGUGCUGUGGGGUCAGACCCUGAUCCUGAUUAUCCCAGGGGUGCUAUUUUGGGAUUUUGGUGUCCCCCCCAGUGGUGACUUGGGAUUGCUCUGGACAUCCAUGGAGAGGGUGUGGAGGGUCAGAACAUCAGCCCAUUGGCUCCCAGAGGUUUUUGGGAAGAGCCAGGCUGUGGGAAUCAAUCCCCUGGGAAGGUUUGUGGUGCUGUGGGGUCAGACCCUGAUCCUGAUUAUCCCAGGGGUGCUAUUUUG
This is a long non-coding RNA of Myiozetetes cayanensis, 885 nucleotides long. RefSeq lists it as uncharacterized. The record is from RefSeq and is a predicted model, not a curated record. The transcript is spliced from 3 exons. Lineage: Eukaryota; Metazoa; Chordata; Aves; Passeriformes; Tyrannidae.